RNAcentral lists this unclassified non-coding RNA (320 nucleotides) under plant metagenome. Its description in RNAcentral is "partial contains 5.8S ribosomal RNA, internal transcribed spacer 2, and large subunit ribosomal RNA". The stretch from base 1 to 105 matches the Rfam family "5.8S ribosomal RNA", at positions 50 to 154 of the family's 154-position model. The record is from RNAcentral.
GAAAUGCGAUAAGUAAUGUGAAUUGCAGAAUUCAGUGAAUCAUCGAAUCUUUGAACGCACAUUGCGCCCGCCAGUAUUCUGGCGGGCAUGCCUGUUCGAGCGUCAUUACAACCCUCAGGCCCCCGGGCCUGGCGUUGGGGAUCGGCGGAAGCCCCCUGCGGGCACAACGCCGUCCCCCAAAUACAGUGGCGGUCCCGCCGCAGCUUCCAUUGCGUAGUAGCUAACACCUCGCAACUGGAGAGCGGCGCGGCCACGCCGUAAAACACCCAACUUCUGAAUGUUGACCUCGAAGCAGGUAGGAAUACCCGCUGAACUUAAGC